UGAUGAGCUAAAAGCUCGAAAUCCGGAUCGUUGAAAACAACUUACUGUGAGUAGGGACUUUUUCUUUUUAAGGGGGUCAUUCAUUGCUGCAUUACAGAGGUUUAUCUCAAGACGUGGUAAACCUAAGAAUAUUUUCUCAGACAACGGUACCAACUUCGUUGGAGCAUGUAGAAAAUUGCAAGAAUUUUGGAAGACAAAGAGUUUAAAGAAAAAUUAAUCACCCUGUUCCCAGGAUGAAAUCACAUGGCAUUUUCAGCCACCUAGGGCACCACAUUCUGGCGGCUUCUUCGCAUUCAACUUCUGACAGCGACUUUUAAUUAGAUAUCAAGAAGCCGGUCUAAAUGAUCCAUAGUGGUUGAAGGUCAUUUAAUAAUUUAAAAAAAACUCACGUCCUUUAAUUCCACUUUCCAAUGAACGUACAGAUGAAAAUGUUCCCUCACUCCAUCACAUUUUCUUAUAGGUGAUAUCCUCGUAAACAAAACUGAGCCAUCCCUAAUCCAUCUACCAGUUAACAAAUUUAACCAGUGGCAGCAAGUUCAGCAACUACUUCAACACUUUUGGUCCCGUUGGUCAAGAGAUUACCUCAACAAUAUACAGCUGUUAACGCCAUUUUUCGUGGACUUUGAGCCCGAGGCCCGGCGAUGUUAACGCUCGGCCCUCUCCGCCACACAGUUGGUAAUUGUCGUUUGAACUGUGCGCAUCGGUCAUUGGCAAAUCGUUUGUUUCUUCUUCUUCAAACUGUUACUCGUCUCAUUUUAUUUUAUUCUCGCGAUCGUCGUGGCGAGACUAUCGAUCGAAGGAGAGUCUCCGAAGGACAACGAGAUAAAGGGUAUCCGUAUCCCUAUAUUCCUACAUCAUCUGUACGCCUGUCCUUUUUCCCCCUUUUCAUCCGUCGUAGAAUUUGGAGAAGUCCUCUAUAUGUCCACUUGCUCGUUAACAACAGCAGAGAGGAAAAUGUAAAACCCCUUAACGAGUCCUUCAAAUUGGCGAUCUAGUCACGAUCAAGAAGUACAAGGAAAAUGGCUCGAGUCAUCAACACCCAUCCAGGAGCAGACAGCAAGGUUCGAGUGGCGACGGUGAAGACAGCCGGAGGAAUUAGUAAGAGACCAAUAAAAAAAAUUGCGUUUACUACCAAUUCCACCACAGGACAUUACUGAAGAAUGAUUCUUCAGGACGAGUGGCAUGGUUGAGCUCUUGGCAGCCCUUUGUCGAGUGGAGGAAAAUUAGGGGAUGAAUGGAAGGGAUCAGUAAUUCAGUAUUCGUACAGCCUUCAAAUCGAAAACGUGUCAGUGAACUGCGUGUGGUUUUAUUUCAUUUAUAUAAUUAUUGUGCUAUAGUCAUCAUUUUCAUAUUCAUUUUUCAUUUGUUUAUUUCACUCAUAGUCUAUUUUUAUUAUAAAUAAUCAGUCCAUUAAAUGAACUAAAGAUUUUCGUUUGUAACUAAAAACAUUUAAUACUGUCCACUCAAAUUAAAUAUCCAAUGUGUUUGGGAUCUGGUUUCUGGUCAAAAAUAAAUUGAAACUAAUUGUACAACCACAAAAUUUAAAUGUAACAAACUCAUUUCAAUUCAAAGAACAAAUAACUGCGCUUCAUAUAGAAGAUAUGAGAUUUAAGAAGUUGACUCUAUUUAUAAGAAAAUUAACAAAGAUCCUACUGUAACUUUCGAAGGACAAAAUAAUAAACUUGUUAAAAAAAACUGUUACAAUCAAAAACUAUAAAAAAGGGAGAGGAACGACAACCGAAAACACAUAACUCUGUUAGUACGAGUAGUGUAGUUAGUCCGAAGAUUUAUGUCCUACCAAAAGUACAUAAGGAAGGGACACCCACCCCUCAGGCUAAUAGUGUCGUCAGUACAAUCACCCUUUUACAAUCUUUCUAAAUUGUUCAAAAAUAAAUUGAAACUAUUUGUACAACCACAAAAUUUAAAUGUAACAAACUCAUUUCAAUUCAAAGAACAAAUAACUGCGAUUCAUAUAGAAAAUGAUGAGAUUUAUGACCAGAAACCAGAUCUCAAAUACAUUAAUCGUCGUGGUCGAUUGGUUUUUCAACAUAAAUAUGCAAUGUAACAAACAAUAUUUACAAAAUGACCUAAUCAUUAAAAUACAAAGGUUAACGGAUUAAUUACAAAAAUCAAAAAAAUUUAUUUAAAUUUAAUCAGAAUACCAAUUAGAAAUGUACGUGUAACUAAGAAACCAGCACCUUGGCAUAUAUUUUAACAUUAAUGAAGUUAAGAGACAAGACUUUAAGAAUGUUUAAAAAAAGACGAACAAUUAGCAACCUGGGAAAAAUUCAAACAUUUAAGAAACAAAGUAAAAAAUUCCAACAGAAACCAAAAAUUCAAUUUGUACACCAAUCAAAUUCAAAGCAUAUCAAACCCCACUGAAUUCUGGAAGAUUAUCAAUGAAAACAAUAUUAUCACUAAAAAACAAGAAAAAAACCGAUCGGUGUGCCACGUGUAAAAGCAUUUGCGCAUAACACGUACAAACUUGCGGGCAAAAUUUGUGAAAACGAAUUUCACUUAAAUUGUGUUACUAUUGAAAGAAGUUUUUUUUUAACUUUGAAAUAUGUUAAGAAACCCUGCUCGGACGAGAAUUGGUGAACUGGUCCUAGAUAGUUUGGACAGCAGAGGUGUGCCAAAGGACUUGACUGCAUUAGUGUCUAGCUAUCUCAGCGAAAGAACAGCAACCCUGAGCGAGCACAGUGUGGACUGUAGCACGGUAGUCCAAAUGGGGAUUCCUCAGGGCUCCGUGCUCGGACCGACUUGUGGUCCGUGCUGUUCGACGGGGCACUUAAACAGCUGCAACAGUCAGGGAUUCAUGCUAUCGCGUACGUGGACGACUUGGCUGUUAUCAUCCCUGCCGAAACGAAGGCAGAGAUUGAAAGGAAAGGUGCAAGCGCCGUUGCAGUACUAGAAGAAUGGUGCAACGGUGUCAGACUCUGUUUAGCCCCAGAGAAGACAGAGCUGCUGCUUCUCAAAGGCUCAUUGAACAUGAGAUCACCACUAGUCAUUCGGAUGUGCGGAAAAACAAUAAAAUCCCCACCAAUAGUGACGUACUUGGGUAUAAGGAUGACUGCAGGCUUGCGAUUUUCAGUAAACGCAAAAAGCACGCACGCAAAGAUCCCGGCAAGGAUAGCAGCGAUGAAAGCAAUAAGCGGCGCGAUAUGGGGUGCUUCCUACAAAAGUAGGUCAGUGUACUAUUCGGCGUUGUGCGAAUCAGUACUACUGUAUGCUGCUCCUGCGUGGACGUGUCGGUUGCGGGCUGCUGAUUGGAUAAUGCUAGAGAGGGCCCAGCGCAUAGCCCUUCUCGCGGUCACAAGGGCAUAUAGAACUAUUUCUACAGAUACCCUGCAAGUACUAGCUGGACGACCACCGAUAGAUCUUCAGGCGAAAUUUGUUUGCGGGAAAUGGGAAAUUACAAAUGGACUCGAAUCUGUAUCCCCGCAACAAAUGAAAGCGAAGCUACGCUAUGGAUGAUAACGCAGUGGCAGCGACGAUGGGACGCCUCAACGAAAGGGCGGUACACUUAUGAAAUCUUCCCCAGCAUUCAAGGCAGAAUGAAAAUGAAACAUCUAGAAAUGGAUCAUUUUACGUCACAACUGCUUUCGGGCCACGGAGAUUUUGCAGAAAAACUGAAUAAGUUUAGAUUAAAAGAUAGCCCUUUCUGUGAGUGUGGUCAAGUUGAAACUGUUGAGCACGUGGCAUUUGUAUGCCAUAAAUAUGAACAAGCCCGAUGGAGAUGGCUCGCUGAAACCGGAGAACAAUCGUUAGAUGUGAGUACCCUGCGCCAUGCGGUCUCCUCACCGUCUGGUUUCCGAUCAACUCAGAAAUUGUGGAAAGCCAUUAUGAAACAGAAAGGGUGGUUAGUGUAAAGUGCGAUCAAAGUGAGUGUGCAGUGUGGGAAAGGGGUUAAUUAAAUUAGUUGUAAUUAAUGUUGUUUUGCUUGUUAUAUUCAUGUUCAUUAUUAUAUGUGUGUGUAUGUAUGUGUAUAUGUGUAUGUGCGUGUGAAUUUUGUUACGAUUAUUUAGUAUUACUAUUGUCAUAACUCUUUUUUUUUCCUUUUUUUUUUCCUCCACCCGGCACAGGAGCAGUGUGCUGCACAGCUACCCAGUUUCUUCAGCUCAUCAGGAACCAAGGAACAACAAGUAAAAGUGAACAAACCAAGUGAAGAACCAAAGUUAAAUAACAAAACCUCCUCCACCUGAAUUUAAUAUCCCAACGAGCCGCCUCCGCGAGGCCCAUCCUGGACACAGUUGGUUAAUAUAAUCACCAACUGUGACGAAGAGCUCGGCAGGUGGAGUGUAGAUGCGACCGCUUUGAAAGGCCAUGGACAUAAAAGAGUACAAUAGGAACAGGAGUGGGGAGAGGAAUGUGUUAUUUAUUAUUAGUAUUUUUUUUUGCUAACACGUUCUCUCUGACCCCCAAGUUCAAACGCAUCCGUCUUUAAUAAAAAAGCUACACAAAUAAAAUAAAUAAGCCAAAGGAAGAUACAGUAAAGAGCCGGCGACGGCUUAUGAACAGUAGAAAGAAAGAAAGCCAGACGGUGUUGCGGGUGGCAAGUCCUAAUGUUAUCCGAUUUCUAUGUGAUGACAUUCUUGCCAACAACGUUAUUAUGACAACAGUGCCAUCUAUGCCAAGUAUUCAUGAAAGAUCUUGCCGACACGCUGGGUGAACAAGUCAUUAAGCCGGGGAGUUUCGUCAUCUUGAGACAACAUCAGAAGUGGGAUGGAUUCAGCCCAAAGCAGUUCGUCGCCAUUAGACGAAAGGUAUGAAGAUUUUAUUAACCACGAACGCCAGAAUGAUAACAAUUCUUGUAGAGCUAUUGCCCAAGAACAAUUGCGCACUAUUCAGAGACUUUUGGAACUUACGGGAAAUGCCCUCACACUCUCCACCUUUCAACGUGCCGUCGCCGCUUUAAAAUUACCUGAAUUUGACCCUUUGUCUUCGGUCAGUGCUCGGGUCUGGUGUAACACGGUUUUUUUUCUUUUUUUUAAUGCUUCUCGUGUUGAACUGUCAUGAAAAGGCCUCACUGUAACGUUCAGAGCCACGAUUUCAAGUGAUAUGUAAUGCCUCGGUGGUGUGUAUGGUGUGUAAUGAGGAGUCUUGAACAGAAUUUCUGUGUACGCACAAUGACAUUUCCUCCAGUGUAUGCUCAGUACGAGUUGACUUCGAGCAGUUGCUCAGCUGGGUCUGUCUCGAGCAGUAUAUACACUAAACACUAGGUGGGAUGGGUUCACAUCCUCAGUAAGUUCAGCAUAAGACAGCAUAUCCUCAAUCACAGUUCUCGUUGCCACCUAAUCACUGAAUGAAUAUGUCUCAAUUUGACAGGAUUACCUAUUAAUUAUGGGCUGAGGAGUCGCCCGAUGGCCUUGACAUUUCAACAAGUCAGUGCAUAAGCAUGUUAUAGCCCUAACCAUCCUUAACCAGUUAUGGGCAUAGUUUCCCUUCCUUUCCCUUUGUCCCUUCGGACUUAGGGUUUAUUUAACGUCCGUCCCUGCCUAUUGCUAGGCUCACCGGACUUUGUUGGUGGCUUCCAGUAUUUCUACCUUCAGCCACCCCCCGGAGAGGUAGAUAAGGGUACGCUCUACCUCCGGCUCCGGUUGGCCGGUACCCUCCAGAUAAGGUACGAGUUGCUGUUAAACCACGACCACCACGAGUCCAACCUCAAUUGGGGGCUACUUGGAAUUACCCCAUCCCGUGGUUCAGUACUGUUUUUAAGGUGAGACUGAUCGCCCACCCGGGGGUUGCCCCCCUACUGUUUUCACCCGUUACCAGAGGGGUGAAGGUUCAGUAACCCAGGAAGCCUCCACCAAAGUGGAGGAGGGAGUUGGUACAGAUAAGGAAAGGUACAGGAAGGUAAGGGAUUUGCCUCCAUCAUCGGUUACCCCUAGACGCCUGAACUGAUGGUAGGACUUAUCUAGCUCGAAAACGACGUUGGGACAUCCACCACUUUUCAAAACGGAUCGGCCAUAAUAGCCUGGGGAAUCCAAGAGUGGCAGAGAAGAUGGUCAAACUCCAUAAAAGGAAGGACGACGUACAGCAUUUUCCCGGACAUUGCCAAACGACUAAAAAUGAAAUACGUGGAACUUGACCAUUAUUUAAGCCAAGUUUUAACAGGUCAUGGAGACUUCAGGGCUAAGCUACACUCCUUCCAAAUAAAAGAAUCACCAGAAUGCGAAUGUGAAUCGCCAGAGGAGACAUUAACACAUGUGUUGUUUGAAUGUGAGCGUUACGCAGCACCAAGGGAAAUCUGGUUGAGGAAAAUUAACCAUAGAGGGACUAAUGAAGGACUAACUCCGAAAAUGGUCGACACAAAGAAGAACUUCUUGGCCACAAAGCAAUACACCCAUAAGAUAAUGAAAAUCAAGUCUUGGAGCGUUCCGCACGACGACACAGCAAUUACAUUAAAAAAAAAAAAA
Cimex lectularius (bed bug) is the source of this 6416-nucleotide long non-coding RNA. RefSeq lists it as uncharacterized. The transcript is spliced from 2 exons. The record is from RefSeq and is a predicted model, not a curated record. Lineage: Eukaryota; Metazoa; Arthropoda; Insecta; Hemiptera; Cimicidae.